RNAcentral lists this non-coding RNA (31 nucleotides) under Rattus norvegicus (Norway rat). The record is from RNAcentral. Lineage: Eukaryota; Metazoa; Chordata; Mammalia; Rodentia; Muridae.
UGCACACUGGCACCCAAGAGGCACAGCCUCA